RNAcentral lists this small RNA (97 nucleotides) under Salmonella enterica. RNAcentral describes it as "partial RtT sRNA". It matches the Rfam family "RtT RNA", at positions 56 to 130 of the family's 130-position model. From Rfam's summary of the family: This family represents a bacterial cis-regulatory element known as RtT RNA. The record is from RNAcentral. Lineage: Bacteria; Pseudomonadati; Pseudomonadota; Gammaproteobacteria; Enterobacterales; Enterobacteriaceae.
AGCGAGAGAACGUUGCGUCAGCAACGGCCCGCAGGGCCGUCAGCAACGGCCCGCAGGGCGAGCCACGCAGUGGCGAGUCAUCCUCUAUCACCGACCA